This 277-nucleotide long non-coding RNA is filed under the name Helianthus annuus (common sunflower). RNAcentral's name for it is "sRNA HanXRQr2_Chr15g0683161". The record is from RNAcentral. Lineage: Eukaryota; Viridiplantae; Streptophyta; Magnoliopsida; Asterales; Asteraceae.
GUAUCCGUUCUUGAAGAAAGAAGACUGGAAACUAUUUGUAUCACAAAGAACUUCAAAACAAUGGGAGGAGACAAGUAAGAAGGCAAAGAAAGUCCGUGCACAUCAUAAAUACAAUCAUCAUUUGAGCAGAAAGGGAUAUGCCAGACUCACUACUGAGAUUAUGCAAGAAACCGGCCUGGAGGAAGAGGAGAUUGAUAGGGCAAUGUUGUGGAAACGAGCAAGAGAACUGAAAAUAGGAGGUUUCGACUCAGAUGUCCAAGUGGUAGUUGAUAGAAUU